RNAcentral lists this ribosomal RNA (253 nucleotides) under uncultured bacterium. RNAcentral's name for it is "partial 16S ribosomal RNA". It matches the Rfam family "Bacterial small subunit ribosomal RNA", at positions 524 to 776 of the family's 1533-position model. The record is from RNAcentral.
UACAGAGGUCCCAAGCGUUGUUCGGAUUCACUGGGCGUAAAGGGUGCGUAGGCGGUCGGGUAAGUCUGACGUGAAAUCUCCGGGCCUAACCCGGAAACUGCGUUGGAAACUGCUCGGCUCGAGGAAUGGAGGGGAGACUGGAAUACUUGGUGUAGCAGUGAAAUGCGUAGAUAUCAAGUGGAACACCAGUGGCGAAGGCGAGUCUCUGGACAUUUCCUGACGCUGAGGCACGAAAGCCAGGGGAGCAAACGGG